AUACGGAGGGUGCAAGCGUUAUUCGGAAUCACUGGGCGUAAAGGACGCGUAGGCGGGUUGGCAAGUCAGAUGUGAAAUCCUACAGCUUAACUGUAGAACUGCAUUUGAAACUGCUAACCUAGAGUAUGGGAGGGGGUGAUGGAAUUAGUGGUGUAGGGGUAAAAUCCGUAGAUAUCACUAGGAAUACCGAAAGCGAAGGCGAUCUCCUGGAACAUAACUGACGCUAAGGCGUGAAAGCGUGGGGAGCAAACAGGAUUAGAAACCCUAGUAGUCC
This 274-nucleotide ribosomal RNA is filed under the name uncultured bacterium. RNAcentral's name for it is "partial 16S ribosomal RNA". It matches the Rfam family "Bacterial small subunit ribosomal RNA", at positions 523 to 796 of the family's 1533-position model. The record is from RNAcentral.